Molecule: ribosomal RNA, 502 nt
Filed under: uncultured bacterium
Lineage: Bacteria
Description: bacterial SSU rRNA
Rfam family: Bacterial small subunit ribosomal RNA
Source: RNAcentral
AACGAACGCUGGUGGCGUGUUUUAUACAUGCAAGUCGAGCGAGGACAGUAGCUUGCUACUGAGCCGAGCGGCGAACGGGUGAGUAACGCGUAAGCAAUCUGCCCCCACAAUCGGGAACAACCGUGCCAACGCGCGGCUAAUGCCGGAUAUUGUGUCCUACUGCAUAGUAGGUUAACGAAAGAUUUAUCGUUGUGGGAUGAGCUUGCGUCCGAUUAGCUAGUUGGCGGGGUAAUAGCCCACCAAGGCGACGAUCGGUAGCCGGCCUGAGAGGGUGAUCGGCCACAUUGGGACUGAGACACGGUCCAGACUCCUACGGGAGGCAGCAGUGGGGAAUAUUGCGCAAUGGGGGAAACCCUGACGCAGCAACGCCGCGUGAGUGAGGAAGGUCUUCGGAUCGUAAAGCUCUGUCGGGUGGAAAGAAUGUAUGGGGUUAAUAGCCUUCAUACUUGACGGUACCACCAAAGGAAGCACCGGCUAACUCCGUGCCAGCAGCCGCGGUAAA